RNAcentral lists this non-coding RNA (49 nucleotides) under unclassified sequences. RNAcentral describes it as "L31-Actinobacteria ribosomal protein leader". It matches the Rfam family "L31-Actinobacteria ribosomal protein leader". The record is from RNAcentral.
CUGGUUCCGGUUCACGUCCCGCUUCACGCGGCGGGACGACCCGGCGACC